Trifolium pratense (red clover) is the source of this 784-nucleotide long non-coding RNA. RefSeq lists it as uncharacterized. The record is from RefSeq and is a predicted model, not a curated record. Lineage: Eukaryota; Viridiplantae; Streptophyta; Magnoliopsida; Fabales; Fabaceae. The transcript is spliced from 5 exons.
UAACGACACAUGUUUUGCGCCACUUUUCACUCUUUUUCAUUCCCAAUGUCUUCCACUUCAUAUCUCCAUUCCACGAUUUCCACUUCCAAACCCUAAUUCUUUCACUUCUUCCUCUCUCUCUCUCUCUCUCUCUCUCUCUCUCUCUCUCUCUCUCUCUCUCUCUCUCUCGAAUUCGAAAUCGAAGAUCUCAGACUCAAGAUCCCGGUAAAUCAGGGUUUUGAGAUUGAUACUACUACCACUACUGAUGCAGGCGUUUUCUUAUUUGGAAGAACAACUUCGGUUGUGUAUAGACGCGAAGCUGUGAAUAAAAUUGAAUGAUAUACAGGUCAAUGCCACUAGUUGCAAGAUUUCACAUUCUAAACAGAAAAACACUGUACUUUUUUCAUUCCUUGCUGUGUGCUUGUUUCAUGUUGGGAAAAAAAUAGUUGAAGAUACAAAAGUAUGCAAGUUGUUGAUCUCCUGUCACUCUGGCGGCAAUCCCAUCUGGUGUUGGGAAAGUUUGAUCUUCAAAAUUAGCUUUUGCCAGUGACGGUUUAAUGUGCUGUUGGAAAACAUGGCCCGGUAAAAAGGAGCUGAGGCUGAAAACAGAUAUGAAACACACUUUUGACAACCAAAAAAAAUUCACCAAGGCUCAGUAUAUCCACCGGGGAUAGAAGCAGACUCUGGAUUCCAGGCAACAAGGGCCUUAGACUGGUCACCCUCAUGUUCUUGCAUCUGGUUCUGUACAUUUUUUGCCAACACUUCAAAAUUGAUAUUGAUAGUAGGGAUUUCAUCAGGAUCCUCC